UACGUAGGGUGCAAGCGUUAAUCGGAAUUACUGGGCGUAAAGAGUGUGUAGGUGGUGUCGUAAGUUUGGUGUGAAAUCUCCCGGCUUAACUGGGAGGGUGCGCCGAAGACUGCGAUGCUGGAGUAUGGGAGAGGAAAGCGGAAUUCCUGGUGUAGCGGUGAAAUGCGUAGAGAUCGGGAGGAACACCCGUGGCGAAGGCGGCUCACUGGGCUGACCUUGACGCUGAGGCGCGAAGGCGUGGGGAGCGAACGGG
Molecule: ribosomal RNA, 253 nt
Filed under: uncultured bacterium
Lineage: Bacteria
Description: partial 16S ribosomal RNA
Rfam family: Bacterial small subunit ribosomal RNA
Source: RNAcentral